This is a non-coding RNA of Labrus bergylta (ballan wrasse), 1690 nucleotides long. The record is from RefSeq and is a predicted model, not a curated record. NCBI's taxonomy places the organism in Eukaryota, Metazoa, Chordata, Actinopteri, Labriformes, Labridae.
GUUCAAUGCUGUGUGAGGCCACACCUGUCUGUAGCCCGGUGUCGGACUCUGACCCAGACUCAGUCCAACACACCCACCACCUCACAUGACUGUACCACCUGUAUCACAGACUGUGGACCCACAAUAGCCAAUUGAAGACUUGAGGUUGGCCCGGAGGUCCAUGGAGACUUUGUGCUUUGAGCCCAGCAGCGAGCGAAGAAUGGCGUCAGCAGACACACGAACGCGCCGAAGACUAGGCCUCUUGAAUUUCCCCCUGAGGUCCAACACCUUUAUGUUCAGGUCUUUAAUCUGGAACAGAUCAUUUACAUGACUUCUGCAGCAUAUUGAAUUUAAUGAGGAGGUUAACAUUUUUAAAUUUGGCCAAUAGCACACAGAGAUAUGCUGGGAAAGUAUCAUGUACCUCACGUGUGUUGAGCAUGACUUUAGCUUCGAUGUCAUAUCGCUCCUCAUCAACCACAUCUAUCUUAGUAUGGAGCUCUUUGCAAAGGUCCUAUACAUAAACACACAUAAAAACACACACAAAUCUUAUAUAUAGUUAUUUAGUAGUAAUGAUUAUUACGAGGGUAGAUUUUACUGUUAUCAUAUACUGUAGUUUUUUGUAACCUAAAUUUGUGUAUCUAAAGUCUUUACAUUUCUGAGAAUUUUUCUCUAGAAACUAUGCUCAUGAAGAAGCUUAAGGUCCCUAAAUUCCUUUCAUUUAAAAAAAUUGUGGAAUUGUGGAGAUCUGAGGACAAGUUACCUGCAGCUGUGCAAGACUGUGGCCACUGAUGUGUAGCGGAGGAGCUCUCUCUGACAGAUACUUAUUUUUCUCCUCCUCUUUAACCAGGAUCUCCUGUUCCAAUUCCUCCUUGGCCUUUGCAACCAUGAGACUCUGCAUGAAUAUGAUGUCAUGUAAAUGUCACCGUGUAAUACAGAAUGCCCUUACAUUUGCUCUUGUCGAGCAAAACCAGCACAGCAAGCUUGUAUUGUUUUAACAUGCAAAUACAAACGUUCAGUUCUCAGAGCACACGCUCUUGAUCAGCAUUAUCCAGCGUAGUACAGUUCAACAGAAUGUGGCCACUGCUGCCCUCCUGUGGUCAAACAUUAUGUAAUAAAUUAUCAAGAAAUGAGGGUGAAUGAUUCUGCUGACCUUGAGCAUCAGCUUCCUCGAGGCUGAGAUCUUGGGUUUCCUCUGGAUGGAGAACAUAAUUCAGGACAUGAAUCCUAACUGAUUUGAUUAUUAUAAUUUUAGAAUCAAGGAAUACUAUUAUCAUGGUCAUUGAUUAAAAAUAGUUCUUACCUCUUGCCUGUAAAAUAAAAAAAUGGAAAGGAUUUAAAGCAGAGAAAAUUAAAGGCCAAACAUGUUAGUGUAACAAAACUCAGAAAAAAUGAUUUUGUCUUUGUUUAUGUUUGUUAAUGACAACAGAGUCUACAUAAAGAAUACUCACACGUGUUCAGGCAUCCUGCAGACGAGAUGUCACUGGAAGAGAGACGAAUUAUGUCAGAAACACACGCGCACACACACGCACACACACACACACACACACACACACACACACACACACACACACACACACACACACACACACACACACACACACACACACACACACACACACAAAACAGUUCUUCAUGGAAGUUUGGCUUCUUAUUUGAAUGGAUCACAAACCAAAAUGAUGUGUCUUUAAUGCAUUAAAAAAUCUGGACUUUC